UACGAAGGGGGCUAGCGUUGCUCGGAAUUACUGGGCGUAAAGCGCACGUAGGCGGAUUGUUAAGUCGGGGGUGAAAUCCUGGAGCUCAACUCCAGAACUGCCUUCGAUACUGGCGAUCUCGAGUUCGGGAGAGGUGAGUGGAACUGCGAGUGUAGAGGUGAAAUUCGUAGAUAUUCGCAAGAACACCCGUGGCGAAGGCGGUUCUCUGGGACGGUACUGACGCUGAGACGCGAAAGCGUGGGGAGCGAACAGG
RNAcentral lists this ribosomal RNA (253 nucleotides) under uncultured bacterium. RNAcentral describes it as "partial 16S ribosomal RNA". It matches the Rfam family "Bacterial small subunit ribosomal RNA", at positions 524 to 776 of the family's 1533-position model. The record is from RNAcentral.